AACAAACCAAUUUUUCACUUUUUAUCUAUGAUGUUUGACUCUUCGUCUUGUUAAAAAAAUUACAAUUAAUAAUUUUAUUUUUAUUAGAUGAUAAAUCAUGUAUAGAACUUUACGUGCGACUAAUUUUUUUUCAAGUUUUUAAAAAAUUUCAAAUAAAUCGGAUAGUUAAACGUUGGACACGGAAACCGAUUGAUUGAUUUAUU
This 203-nucleotide microRNA precursor is filed under the name Oryza brachyantha (malo sina). Its description in RNAcentral is "MIR812 microRNA precursor family". It matches the Rfam family "MIR812 microRNA precursor family". Lineage: Eukaryota; Viridiplantae; Streptophyta; Magnoliopsida; Poales; Poaceae. The record is from Rfam by way of RNAcentral.